This 756-nucleotide ribosomal RNA is filed under the name Triticum aestivum (bread wheat). RNAcentral describes it as "partial small subunit ribosomal RNA". The record is from RNAcentral. Lineage: Eukaryota; Viridiplantae; Streptophyta; Magnoliopsida; Poales; Poaceae.
AUGCUUAUUUCCCUGAUGGAUGACACGUAUGAUUCCCAUGCCACCAUAGAGGAAUGUCGAUUGCUAAAUGCGGCCAUACAAAGAUGGGAUGAGAGUGCCACUUCUCUUCUACCCAACUACCUUCAAAGAUUCUAUAUUGAAUUGUUGAGGAUAUUUAAUGAACAUAAGCGUGAAGUGGCCAUUCGUGACACCUACCAUGUUGCCUAUGCCCGGAAAGUGUUUCAAGAUCUAUCAGCUUAUUAUCUCCAAGAAGCUGAAUGGUUACACCAGAAUCACAAGCCAAGCUUCAAAGAUCAAAUGAGUUUAUCUGCCAUGUCCAUAGGAUCACCAACAUUAUGUAUAGGUUUGAUGGUUGGCAUGGGUGAUCUAGUGACGAGGGAAUCAUUUGAGUGGGCAGCUGGUUACCCUAAUGUCACCAUAUCAUGCGGGAAGAUAGCAUGUCUAAUGGAUGACAUUGCUGCAUUUAAAGGCGGGAAGGCCAAGGGAGAUAUAACAACCUCUAUAGAGUGUUACAUGGUUGAGCAUAGGGUCACAAGUGCGGUUGCCAUUUCCAAGAUCCUUUCACUGCUAGAAGAUGACUGGAAAACUCUAAAUCAAGCUCUCUUUCAACAUCACGCACAACUCCCGAUGGUGCGGAGGAUUAUUAACUUUGCUAAUAGCAUGCCAUUAUUCUAUGCUGAGAAAGAUGCAUAUACCUUCAAUAUCCAUCUUAAGGAUACCGUUGAGAGCCUUUUUGUUGAAACCAUUCCCAUGUAG